RNAcentral lists this unclassified non-coding RNA (300 nucleotides) under uncultured fungus. RNAcentral describes it as "partial contains small subunit ribosomal RNA, internal transcribed spacer 1, and 5.8S ribosomal RNA". The stretch from base 1 to 73 matches the Rfam family "Eukaryotic small subunit ribosomal RNA", at positions 1759 to 1831 of the family's 1831-position model. The record is from RNAcentral. Lineage: Eukaryota; Fungi.
GCAAACUUGGUCAUUUAGAGGAAGUAAAAGUCGUAACAAGGUUUCCGUAGGUGAACCUGCGGAAGGAUCAUUAUCGAGUUUGAUAUGGGUUGUCGCUGGCCUUUUCGGAGGCAUGUGCACGCCCUACUCAUUCCACAUACACCUGUGCACCACUUGUAGCUUCGAUAAGGACUUCAGUCCGAGUUGUUGCUAUGUUUUUACAUACACCGAAUGUUAUGAAUGUCUCUAUUGCUCUAAUGCAAUUUAAAUACAACUUUCAACAACGGAUCUCUUGGCUCUCGCAUCGAUGAAGAACGCAGC